Alkaliphilus metalliredigens QYMF is the source of this 86-nucleotide regulatory RNA element. It matches the Rfam family "c-di-GMP-I riboswitch aptamer". Rfam says of the family: GEMM was predicted in a large-scale screen for bacterial structured RNA regulatory elements. Genes associated with GEMM are involved in a diverse array of functions, including chemotaxis regulation, signal transduction, secretion and chitin. Lineage: Bacteria; Bacillati; Bacillota; Clostridia; Peptostreptococcales; Natronincolaceae. The record is from Rfam.
GAAUACAGAGGGCAAACUUAUCGAAAGGUAAGGACGCAAAGCCAUGGGCCUACAUUCUAAACAGAAGAUGGUAGCCGGUUGCAGAA